This 250-nucleotide ribosomal RNA is filed under the name uncultured bacterium. RNAcentral describes it as "partial 16S ribosomal RNA". It matches the Rfam family "Bacterial small subunit ribosomal RNA", at positions 107 to 353 of the family's 1533-position model. The record is from RNAcentral.
UGAGUAACACGUGAGCAACCUACCUUUCAGUGGGGGACAACAUUUGGAAACGAAUGCUAAUACCGCAUAAGACCACAGUGUCGCAUGGCACAGGGGUCAAAGGAUUUAUCCGCUGAAAGAUGGGCUCGCGUCCGAUUAGCUAGAUGGUGAGGUAACGGCCCACCAUGGCGACGAUCGGUAGCCGGACUGAGAGGUUGAACGGCCACAUUGGGACUGAGACACGGCCCAGACUCCUACGGGAGGCAGCAUG